Passer domesticus (house sparrow) is the source of this 465-nucleotide long non-coding RNA. RefSeq lists it as uncharacterized. The record is from RefSeq and is a predicted model, not a curated record. Lineage: Eukaryota; Metazoa; Chordata; Aves; Passeriformes; Passeridae. The transcript has 4 exons.
ACCAGUUUAAGUUCUCAUCCCAAGUUGCCAGUCCAAAUGCUGGAGAUGCAGAGCCUGAAAAAAGGGGCAGAGCUACCACUGAAGAUGAUUUGCAGUUUUUGAUAUAUCAACACAGCUUUGCAACAAAAGCUGUCUUGCAUGAAUUUUAAGCAUAAAGCUUCGGGAAAGCAACACUUCUGCGUAGUGAAUGACAGCUAAAUUUGGGUUUGCCAUAAGUGAAAAGAGCAAAGUCUUGGCAAGUGUCCUGAGAUGACUCCAUCUCCACUGCUUCAUAAAUAUGUCAGUUUACAUUCAGGAUUUUUUUGUGGAACUUUGAUGUACAUCAACAGCAGAAGGUAAUCUUGUGCAACUAGCAAUGGGACAGUGUUGCAUGAUAUGAAAACAUUAUUAUCAUCUCGGCGACAGACUUCAUUACACGUCAUCAUGACUCUUAGAACAAAUUAUGCAUAUUUUAUGUUGUCCAGG